CCGAUAGUUCCCGAUCACAUCGUCCUCCUUCGAGAAUUGCACAGAUGUUGCCAGUUCAUCCGGCCGAAGCUGCGCCGUCGCGAGUUGAGAGUUUGCGGGCGGGAGUUGCUGAAAGAGUUUGAAAGUAGAUGUUCUUGAUCAGGUUCGUCGGAUAUCGCUCCAACCUCUGGAAGUAAUCCGAGUACGACAUCUUCAGGACCUGCGGCUUUCGUACAGACGGUUCAUCCAGAACUGGUGCAAACUGUUCUUCCGGAUGUUUAUGUAAUACUCGUCAAACAUGUCCCGCACCGAGAAAUGGACUGCGGACCCUCAGGACAUCCCACACUGUCCCGUCAUCACUUCCGGCACAUAAUGCUGCUGAUGGUCGUAAACCGCCGGCACCGAGUGCAACAUCCGCGCUGACCACCUCCGAUCGCUUCUCGUCGUUUCCCUCUUCCGUCGGAUCCUUCUCCUCACCGUUAAAAUUAACUUUAUCGAAUACAACCGGUGCAAAUUCA
This is a long non-coding RNA of Culex pipiens pallens (northern house mosquito), 497 nucleotides long. RefSeq lists it as uncharacterized. The transcript has 2 exons. The record is from RefSeq and is a predicted model, not a curated record. NCBI's taxonomy places the organism in Eukaryota, Metazoa, Arthropoda, Insecta, Diptera, Culicidae.